This 731-nucleotide ribosomal RNA is filed under the name Enterobacter kobei. Its description in RNAcentral is "bacterial SSU rRNA". It matches the Rfam family "Bacterial small subunit ribosomal RNA", at positions 8 to 750 of the family's 1533-position model. Lineage: Bacteria; Pseudomonadati; Pseudomonadota; Gammaproteobacteria; Enterobacterales; Enterobacteriaceae. The record is from RNAcentral.
AGAGUUGAUCCUGGCUCAGAUGAACGGGCGCAGGCUAACACAUGCAAGUCGAGCGGUACACAGGAGUUGCUCUGGGUGACGAGCGGCGGACGGGUGAGUAAUGUCUGGGAAACUGCCUGAUGGAGGGGGAUAACUACUGGAAACGGUAGCUAAUACCGCAUAAGUCGCAAGACCAAAGAGGGGGACCUUCGGGCCUCUUGCCAUCAGAUGUGCCCAGAUGGGAUUAGCUAGUAGGUGGGGUAACGGCUCACCUAGGCGACGAUCCCUAGCUGGUCUGAGAGGAUGACCAGCCACACUGGAACUGAGACACGGUCCAGAUCUACGGGAGGCAGCAGUGGGGAAUAUUGCACAAUGGGCGCAAGCCUGAUGCAGCCAUGCCGCGUGUAUGAAGAAGGCCUUCGGGUUGUAAAGUACUUUCAGCGGGGAGGAAGGUGUUGAGGUUAAUAACCUCAGCAAUUGACGUUACCCGCAGAAGAAGCACCGGCUAACUCCGUGCCAGCAGCCGCGGUAAUACGGAGGGUGCAAGCGUUAAUCGGAAUUACUGGGCGUAAAGCGCACGCAGGCGGUCUGUCAAGUCGGAUGUGAAAUCCCCGGGCUCAACCUGGGAACUGCAUUGAAACUGGCAGGCUAGAGUCUUGUAGAGGGGGGUAGAAUUCCAGGUGUAGCGGUGAAAUGCGUAGAGAUCUGGAGGAAUACCGGGCGAAGGCGGCCCCCGACAAAGACACGCAGUA